RNAcentral lists this ribosomal RNA (625 nucleotides) under Escherichia coli DEC13C. RNAcentral describes it as "partial 16S ribosomal RNA". The record is from RNAcentral. Lineage: Bacteria; Pseudomonadati; Pseudomonadota; Gammaproteobacteria; Enterobacterales; Enterobacteriaceae.
AGAUUAUGUCAGGGAGACUGACCGGUCACUGAUGCAACUGGUCACCGCAUUCUGGGCAACGCUGGCACUUAUGUAUAUGUCGUUUGCGGCAGGCACCGGGAAAUAUCCGGUGCGACCCGGAAAAAUGAAAUGUAUCCGGGUGGUAACCGCAGAUGAACGUCUGAAGGACGUUUAUACGGAAGACGCUUCCCUGCCGGGAAAAAUCAGUAAAUGUCCUGUUUAUCUUCCUGAUGACAGAACAAACAGAAACAACGGAGAUAAAAAUGAACAUGCGUAAUAUUAAUGUUAUUACAGCCCGCGCUGUGCCGGAUAAAAACGUAUCAGAUGAUUUUAUGCAUGCUGUUCUCAGUAACUGCACCACAAAAAUAGUUCUUCCUGCACCGGAGAAAUUCAGUCCUGAAUCAUUGCCGCACAAUUUUAAUAUGACUGCUGUCGGCGUGAUGAAGAAGGGAAUGUCGAUGAGUUUAUUUUCUUCUCCGGGGCAUAUUGUGGUUGCCGGACAAUCCGGUGGCGGAAAAUCUGCUCCGGUGAAAGAACUAAUCGACAGAAUUAUUCAGAAAUAUAAGGAACCCUUCGAUGAAUAAGCUGGUUUCUGAUGGCAGCGUCAAAAAAUAAAUUAUCCGGU